AGAUCGGGCGUUCCCCUUCGGGGGACAGGGUGACAGGUGGUGCAUGGUUGUCGUCAGCUCGUGUCGUGAGAUGUUGGGUUAAGUCCCGCAACGAGCGCAACCCUCGACCUUAGUUGCCAGCAUUCAGUUGGGCACUCUAAGGUGACUGCCGGCUAAAAGUCGGAGGAAGUGGGGAUGACGUCAAAUCAUCAUGCCCCUUAUGACCUGGGCUACACACGUGCUACAAUGGGCGGUACAAAGGGUCGCGAACCCGCGAGGGGGAGCCAAUCCCAAAAAGCCGCUCUCAGUUCGGAUUGCAGGCUGCAACUCGCCUGCAUGAAGCCGGAAUCGCUAGUAAUCGCGGAUCAGCAUGCCGCGGUGAAUACGUUCCCGGGCCUU
RNAcentral lists this ribosomal RNA (378 nucleotides) under uncultured Anoxybacillus sp. RNAcentral describes it as "bacterial SSU rRNA". It matches the Rfam family "Bacterial small subunit ribosomal RNA", at positions 1004 to 1382 of the family's 1533-position model. The record is from RNAcentral. Lineage: Bacteria; Bacillati; Bacillota; Bacilli; Caryophanales; Anoxybacillaceae.